CCUAGUCAUAUUCAUUUCCUCUGC
RNAcentral lists this non-coding RNA (24 nucleotides) under Arabidopsis thaliana (thale cress). Lineage: Eukaryota; Viridiplantae; Streptophyta; Magnoliopsida; Brassicales; Brassicaceae. The record is from RNAcentral.